This 721-nucleotide ribosomal RNA is filed under the name Bacillus sp. SKS55. RNAcentral describes it as "bacterial SSU rRNA". It matches the Rfam family "Bacterial small subunit ribosomal RNA", at positions 612 to 1331 of the family's 1533-position model. Lineage: Bacteria; Bacillati; Bacillota; Bacilli; Caryophanales; Bacillaceae. The record is from RNAcentral.
ACCGUGGAGGGUCAUUGGAAACUGGGGAACUUGAGUGCAGAAGAGGAGAGUGGAAUUCCACGUGUAGCGGUGAAAUGCAUAGAGAUGUGGAGGAACACCAGUGGCGAAGGCGACUCUCUGGUCUGUAACUGACGCUGAGGCGCGAAAGCGUGGGGAGCGAACAGGAUUAGAUACCCUGGUAGUCCACGCCGUAAACGAUGAGUGCUAAGUGUUAGAGGGUUUCCGCCCUUUAGUGCUGCAGCAAACGCAUUAAGCACUCCGCCUGGGGAGUACGGUCGCAAGACUGAAACUCAAAGGAAUUGACGGGGGCCCGCACAAGCGGUGGAGCAUGUGGUUUAAUUCGAAGCAACGCGAAGAACCUUACCAGGUCUUGACAUCCUUCGCUACUUCUAGAGAUAGAAGGUUCCCCUUCGGGGGACGAAGUGACAGGUGGUGCAUGGUUGUCGUCAGCUCGUGUCGUGAGAUGUUGGGUUAAGUCCCGCAACGAGCGCAACCCUUGAUCUUAGUUGCCAGCAUUCAGUUGGGCACUCUAAGGUGACUGCCGGUGACAAACCGGAGGAAGGUGGGGAUGACGUCAAAUCAUCAUGCCCCUUAUGACCUGGGCUACACACGUGCUACAAUGGAUGGUACAAAGGGCUGCAAGACUGCGAAGUCAAGCGAAUCCCAUAAAACCAUUCUCAGUUCGGAUUGCAGGCUGCAACUCGCCUGCAUGAAGCCGGAA